AUGUUUAUCAGCUUCGGAAUGGAGGCUAAGGCAUAUGCUUCCCAAAUAACCUGAACAUUUCCUUUCAAAAGGAUCAGCUUAGUGCCUCGUUUAGAAUGAGCACAGUAAAUGUCUUUUAAACUCUUAGGUGGAGUGACCUUCCUCAUUCCAUUCCAGUCCCUGAACUUACCAGUGCUCCUUGGGCUCUCUGUCUUACUGAAAGGUGUAUAUUGUUGCCUAAAUCCUCAUAUUAAACGUUUAAGCUAUAUGAAAUGUAAUUCUCACAUUAAAUAUCCAUAUUCAACCCUAAUCGUAAUUCAGUCCAACAUCAAAAAUCUCAACUCCUAAGUAUAAACUCAUGGUUUCCUGAAAUAGAGUUUAUUAUUAUUACUAUGUCUUCUCACCAACAGAAAUAGAGAGCAAUUAGAUAACUAACUUAGCAUUAUUUCUAACUUCUACUUAGAAGCAUAAAUGUGAAACAAACCCU
RNAcentral lists this long non-coding RNA (466 nucleotides) under Rattus norvegicus (Norway rat). Its description in RNAcentral is "long non-coding RNA NONRATT009816". Lineage: Eukaryota; Metazoa; Chordata; Mammalia; Rodentia; Muridae. The record is from RNAcentral.